AGUGAACGCUGGCGGUAGGCCUAACACAUGCAAGUCGAACGGCAGCACAGUAAGAGCUUGCUCUUACGGGUGGCGAGUGGCGGACGGGUGAGGAAUACAUCGGAAUCUACUUUUUCGUGGGGGAUAACGUAGGGAAACUUACGCUAAUACCGCAUACGACCUACGGGUGAAAGCAGGGGAUCUUCGGACCUUGCGCGAUUGAAUGAGCCGAUGUCGGAUUAGCUAGUUGGCGGGGUAAAGGCCCACCAAGGCGACGAUCCGUAGCUGGUCUGAGAGGAUGAUCGGCCACACUGGAACUGGGAAACGGUCCAGACUCCUCCGGGAGGCAGCAGUGGGGAAUAUUGGACAAGGGGGGCAAGCCUGAUCCAGCCAUACGGCGUGGGUGAAGAAGGCCUUCGGUUUGUAAAGCCCUUUUGUUGGGAAAGAAAAGCAGCAGGUUAAUACCCCGCUGUUCUGACGGUACCCAAAGAAUAAGCACCGGCUAACUUCGUG
RNAcentral lists this ribosomal RNA (492 nucleotides) under uncultured bacterium. Its description in RNAcentral is "partial 16S ribosomal RNA". It matches the Rfam family "Bacterial small subunit ribosomal RNA", at positions 29 to 507 of the family's 1533-position model. The record is from RNAcentral.